Molecule: ribosomal RNA, 1327 nt
Filed under: Nocardia salmonicida
Lineage: Bacteria; Bacillati; Actinomycetota; Actinomycetes; Mycobacteriales; Nocardiaceae
Description: bacterial SSU rRNA
Rfam family: Bacterial small subunit ribosomal RNA
Source: RNAcentral
UACACGAGCGGCGAACGGGUGAGUAACACGUGGGUGAUCUGCCUUGCACUUCGGGAUAAGCCUGGGAAACUGGGUCUAAUACCGGAUAUGACCUCGGGAUGCAUGUUCUGGGGUGGAAAGAUUUAUCGGUGCGAGAUGGGCCCGCGGCCUAUCAGCUUGUUGGUGAGGUAACGGCUCACCAAGGCGACGACGGGUAGCCGACCUGAGAGGGUGACCGGCCACACUGGGACUGAGACACGGCCCAGACUCCUACGGGAGGCAGCAGUGGGGAAUAUUGCACAAUGGGCGAAAGCCUGAUGCAGCGACGCCGCGUGCGGGAUGACGGCCUUCGGGUUGUAAACCGCUUUUGACAGGGACGAAGCGCAAGUGACUGUACCUGUAGAAUAAGGACCGGCCAACUACGUGCCAGCAGCCGCGGUAAUACGUAGGGUCCGAGCGUUGUCCGGAAUUACUGGGCGUAAAGAGCUUGUAGGCGGUUCGUCGCGUCGUUUGUGAAAACUUGGGGCUCAACCUUAAGCUUGCAGGCGAUACGGGCGGACUAGAGUACUUCAGGGGAGACUGGAAUUCCUGGUGUAGCGGUGAAAUGCGCAGAUAUCAGGAGGAACACCGGUGGCGAAGGCGGGUCUCUGGGAAGUAACUGACGCUGAGAAGCGAAAGCAUGGGUAGCAAACAGGAUUAGAUACCCUGGUAGUCCAUGCCGUAAACGGUGGGUACUAGGUGUGGGGCUCCUUCCACGGACUCCGUGCCGUAGCUAACGCAUUAAGUACCCCGCCUGGGGAGUACGGCCGCAAGGCUAAAACUCAAAGAAAUUGACGGGGGCCCGCACAAGCGGCGGAGCAUGUGGAUUAAUUCGAUGCAACGCGAAGAACCUUACCUGGGUUUGACAUACACCGGAAACCUGCAGAGAUGUAGGCCCCCUUGUGGUCGGUGUACAGGUGGUGCAUGGCUGUCGUCAGCUCGUGUCGUGAGAUGUUGGGUUAAGUCCCGCAACGAGCGCAACCCUUAUCUUAUGUUGCCAGCGCGUAAUGGCGGGGACUCGUGAGAGACUGCCGGGGUCAACUCGGAGGAAGGUGGGGACGACGUCAAGUCAUCAUGCCCCUUAUGUCCAGGGCUUCACACAUGCUACAAUGGCCGGUACAGAGGGCUGCGAGACCGUGAGGUGGAGCGAAUCCCUUAAAGCCGGUCUCAGUUCGGAUCGGGGUCUGCAACUCGACCCCGUGAAGUUGGAGUCGCUAGUAAUCGCAGAUCAGCAACGCUGCGGUGAAUACGUUCCCGGGCCUUGUACACACCGCCCGUCACGUCAUGAAAGUCGGUAACACCCGAAGCC